This 447-nucleotide ribosomal RNA is filed under the name uncultured bacterium. Its description in RNAcentral is "bacterial SSU rRNA". It matches the Rfam family "Bacterial small subunit ribosomal RNA", at positions 329 to 793 of the family's 1533-position model. The record is from RNAcentral.
AGCCAGACUCCUACGGGAGGCAGCAGUGGGGAAUAUUGCACAAUGGGGGAAACCCUGAUGCAGCGACGCCGCGUGAGCGAUGAAGUAUUUCGGUAUGUAAAGCUCUAUCAGCAGGGAAGAAAAUGACGGUACCUGACUAAGAAGCCCCGGCUAACUACGUGCCAGCAGCCGCGGUAAUACGUAGGGGGCAAGCGUUAUCCGGAUUUACUGGGUGUAAAGGGAGCGUAGACGGCUGUGCAAGCCAGAUGUGAAAGCCCGGGGCUCAACCCCGGGACUGCAUUUGGAACUGUGUGGCUGGAGUGUCGGAGAGGCAGGCGGAAUUCCUAGUGUAGCGGUGAAAUGCGUAGAUAUUAGGAGGAACACCAGUGGCGAAGGCGGCCUGCUGGACGAUGACUGACGUUGAGGCUCGAAAGCGUGGGGAGCAAACAGGAUUAGAUACCCUGGUAA